This 859-nucleotide long non-coding RNA is filed under the name Monodelphis domestica (gray short-tailed opossum). Its description in RNAcentral is "lncRNA (ENSMODG00000043920.1)". Lineage: Eukaryota; Metazoa; Chordata; Mammalia; Didelphimorphia; Didelphidae. The record is from RNAcentral.
UGCUGCUUUGCUGAUUGAGGACUGAAUCUUUCUGCUGCAUGAAAGAUUGUUGCAUGUAUUAUUCUCUGUGGCUUCCUGUAGUCUGAGAGAAAGGAAAGAGUUCAGAGGCAGCAAAAAUUGUGCUUCCUAACCACCCUUCUCUUUACCCUCAAGCAUUUGAUGUGCAAUAGAUCCUUAAUAAAUGAUGGAUGGUCAAUGGCUUCUCACAAUGGGACUGGAAUCCAGAAUCUGGUCUGUUUUAAGCUCCUCUCAUCACUAUCUGAAAUCCUCAGGCAAUUGAAGACUUCAUUAUUCUUCCUCAUCAAUCACUCAGGGCCAGCUUUCACAUACAAGAAGUACUGGGCCUUCAUUAGACACAUACAAAGUAGAACAGAAAAAAAGAACAUUUUACAUAAAGCCAUGAAUUUUAUAAAUUUAGUUUCUUUUCCUUCUUGGUAUUGUGAAGAAGAGAUUACAACAUCAGUGAGGUUGGCAAGCAGAUGCAAGAAAUGGAAGCUUGAAGGACUGUCAAUCAAGGAGAGAAGGAAGGAAGAUUCCAAAGAAGAAUCUGGUCAGGGAGACAGUUAAGAAAGUCAGCAUCAGAAACUGGUCACUUUUCUCUUGAACUGUGGAGAAGGAACUAACAGGCUACUGCUCUGGAUUCCUGGCUAGUGGCUUAACAUUGAAAAAAUUGGAGCAUAGCUCUGAAGAUCCUUGUCAAUUUAUCAACAAUAUCCCUUCAGAGACAAAUCAGUGUUACUUCCUUGUAUUGAAUUUCAUAGUAGAUUAGGGAAACCAGAAAUACCCUCUUUCCUGUCCCAACUCUCUAACUUUCUUUCUUUAAAAUAAAUCCCUCUUAGAAAGUACUAUAGUGUGAAAU